UACGGAGGAUCCGAGCGUUAUCCGGAUUUAUUGGGUUUAAAGGGUGCGUAGGCGGACCCUUAAGUCAGUGGUGAAAGUUUGCAGCUCAACUGUAAAAUUGCCAUUGAAACUGAGGGACUUGAGUGUAAAUGAGGUAGGCGGAAUGUGUUGUGUAGCGGUGAAAUGCUUAGAUAUAACACAGAACACCAAUUGCGAAGGCAGCUUACUAGGAUACAACUGACGCUGAGGCACGAAAGCGUGGGGAUCAAACAGG
Molecule: ribosomal RNA, 253 nt
Filed under: uncultured bacterium
Lineage: Bacteria
Description: partial 16S ribosomal RNA
Rfam family: Bacterial small subunit ribosomal RNA
Source: RNAcentral